CUGACCUUUGGACGGAGACUUCAGCAGGGUUAAAUUAGGAAGAUUGGGAUACAGGCCAAAUCGAGGCGGUUUUGUGCUGGCCUCAGAGCGUAUCGAGGCAAUUGAACCCAAUGUUUGAAUGUCAGUUUAGGCGCCAGGACAGAUUGAGAAGGUCGGGGUGUUGGGGCCUAAGCAUGGUGGAAAGUAUGGAGACCUGUUCUGCAAAGCUCUGCUCCAGUACGGGAUCCUCUGCUUUGGUAUAUUUCGACUGCAAGACCCAGGCAAACUGUCAAAGAAACGGUUUGUCAUUACAAAUCCUUCGUCUUGCUUUGAGCUGACCGAGUCGGACUUCAUCAUGUGUACUGUGCCCUUCUACGACACUCAGACCAUAACCAGCAACAUCUCCUCCCGAAUGAACUACCUGUCCAGGUUCAUCCCACUUCACACAGUAUCCAGGCAGUCCUCCCUUAGCAUGAGGACUGACUACGAUGCUUAUAGCCGUGACUACACUGAGCUGGCAAGGCAGGAGGCGGACAG
Molecule: long non-coding RNA, 516 nt
Organism: Mobula hypostoma (lesser devil ray)
Lineage: Eukaryota; Metazoa; Chordata; Chondrichthyes; Myliobatiformes; Myliobatidae
Exons: 3
Source: RefSeq, a predicted model, not a curated record